This 22-nucleotide microRNA is filed under the name Homo sapiens (human). Its description in RNAcentral is "hsa-miR-6871-5p". The record is from miRBase by way of RNAcentral. Lineage: Eukaryota; Metazoa; Chordata; Mammalia; Primates; Hominidae.
CAUGGGAGUUCGGGGUGGUUGC